This 503-nucleotide ribosomal RNA is filed under the name uncultured bacterium. RNAcentral describes it as "partial 16S ribosomal RNA". It matches the Rfam family "Bacterial small subunit ribosomal RNA", at positions 28 to 523 of the family's 1533-position model. The record is from RNAcentral.
GAUGAACGCUAGCGGCAGGCCUAACACAUGCAAGUCGAGGGGUAGCAGGAUUAAGCUUGCUUAAUUGCUGACGACCGGCGCACGGGUGCGUAACGCGUAUGCAACCUACCUUAUACUGGGGUAUAGCCCGGAGAAAUUCGGAUUAAUCCCCCAUAGUACUAAUGAAUCGUAUGGUUUAUUAGUUAAAGCAUUGCGGUAUAAGAUGGGCAUGCGUCCUAUUAGCUAGAUGGUGAGGUAACGGCUCACCAUGGCUACGAUAGGUAGGGGGCCUGAGAGGGUGGUCCCCCACGCUGGUACUGCGGCACUGAGCAGACUCCUACGGUAGGCAGCAGUGAGGAAUAUUGGUCAAUGGGCGCAAGCCUGAACCAGCCAUGCCGCGUGCAGGAAGAAUGCCCUAUGAGUUGUAAACUGCUUUUAUUUGGGAAUAAACCUCUUUACGUGUAGAGAGCUGAAGGUACCAAAUGAAUAAGCACCGGCUAACUCCGUGCCAGCCGCCGCAGUAA